UCCCGGUCAUGGCCACUAGGAGAGACGCCGCCCAGUGGCUCACUGGCCCGCGCAUGGGCCGCCUUAAGCUAGCUUCCUCCUGCCUCCAGUGAAGCAGAUCAAGGCACAGAAGGAAAGUUCAGGUUCUCACGAUGUGGCCCUGACAUCCUGAAACUGGCUGUCUGUAGAUCACCUUGUCCUAGAACAUUCAGAGAUCCAGCUGCCCCUGCCUCCUGAGCACUGGGAUUGAAGAUGUGUGUCACCGUGGGCAGAGUCUCAGGUGACAGGCCACCUGCUGACAUUAGUUGUCUCCUGUUAAGUGGUACCAGAAGGAUACCACACCUCUGCCCUGCCUGAUGUUCUCAGCUUCCCCCAGACUGGUUUUCCUUACUCCUCUGAGGUGUCUCCACUUCUACCCUUGACCUCUCUGGCUUUGAGGACAUCAUGAGAACUACUCUACUGGGGAAAUAGCUUCAGUCCUAGUUUGGACUGGUUUGACACUUGGCUUUGAGUAUUCCUGUCUUGUCUUAAACAACAGGGGAAAAUGCUAUCUCCAAGCCCCCUUUCCUCUUCCCCCUCUCUCUCCCCCUACCCCUACUCCUCUUCUCUUCUCCUCCCCUACUCCCUAGGUAGGGGAUCAAACCUGGGGCUUCACACAUUCUCAGCAGGUACUCUAGAGCUAAACUAUAGCCCUAUGCUUAAAAUUUGUAAAAACUUUAUUAUAAAAAACACCACACGCCAAAAUUACCCGGAAGUCCACACAUCUCAGAAAACGUCUACAGGGUUCGAAUGCCAUUCUCAGUGUGGAGCUGCACACUGGACCUCACACCUCCCUACUGAAUAUACUCUGUGCACUUACGCACCGGUCUUAGUUUGGGUUUCAUUUCUGUGAAGCGAUACCAUGACCAUGGCAACUCUUAUAACAGAAAACAUUUCAUUAGGGCUGGCUUCACGUCCAGAGAUUUGGUCCGUUAUCUUCAUGGUGGGGAGCACAGCAGCAUGCAGGCAGACAUAGUGCUGGAGAGAUAGCUGAGAAUUCUACAUCUUGAUCUGCAGACAGCAGGAGACACUAGGAGCAGCUUAAUCCUAGGAGCCCUUAAAGCCUGCCCUGACAGUGACCCACUUCCUCCAAUAAGACCACACCUACUCCAACAAGGCCACACCUCCUAGUAGUGCCACUUCCUAUGGGCCAAGCAUUCAAACACGUGAGUCUAUGGGGAUCAUGCCUAUUCAAACCAUGACCACCAAAACCAAAAAAUCCAUGACAGGGUUAAAACUAGGAAAACAGUUAACGUUAUAUCCUCUGUCAUUAUUGUGUUCAUCUUUAUCCAGUCCUCCUCAGCCCCUCACAUUUAGCCUUUCUUCUCUUCAUGCUGUGCUGUGUCCACAUGUGCGCUGGUUUACAGGUAUGUAUAUAUAUUAUUGGCAGGUUCUGAAUAUGAAGGAGAAAAUGGUGGGGUUUGUUUUCUGAGCAUAUUUCUAAGUCAAGAUCUUACUAUAAACCCCACAGUUUGAGGCUGGUCUCAAACUCUCCUGAAUGCUGGAUUUUCAGCCCUCUCAGCAUGCCUGCCUGGAGUACCUCUAAACUCUACAGCUUAAAGCUGACCGAAUGCCAGACAGGAUCUGCAUGGAGUUUGGGAACAAGAGGGGACCUUGUAAAUGGAGAAAGCCUACAGGUUGAGAAAAGGAGAUGUUCAAAGUAGAUCCUAGAGGCCCACGGUGAGGCCUGAGUCCAGGUUAGAAACGGAGAAGAGGAAAGCCGGGCACACACGUGAAGCAGGAGGAGGCCUGGGUAAGGCAGGCACUGAAGCAGAAGGCCAAGGAGAGCUUUCCUCCCCCAGGAGGAUGUUUGUGCAGGGCUAGAAGAGAUACCUGAGGAAAUUAACAGUUGGGAGUCAGGACACCUGCACCUCAGGGCAUGACUAAGCCAGAAAAGGGAAAAGCGAAACAAAAGUCACAGUUUCCACGGGGGAAUUUCCCAGAACAACCAACAAUAACUGAGGAACCAACCCC
Molecule: non-coding RNA, 1992 nt
Organism: Rattus norvegicus (Norway rat)
Lineage: Eukaryota; Metazoa; Chordata; Mammalia; Rodentia; Muridae
Source: RefSeq, a predicted model, not a curated record